Molecule: long non-coding RNA, 687 nt
Organism: Gavialis gangeticus (Gharial)
Lineage: Eukaryota; Metazoa; Chordata; Crocodylia; Gavialidae
Exons: 3
Source: RefSeq, a predicted model, not a curated record
GUAUUUCCAUUGAUGUUUAUUUCCAGUGAUUCAGUGCAGUCAAGAGCUGAAAAAUGGUAUGAAGUUCAAAGCAUACACAUAAAUUAGUUGAUUUUUAACAUAGGUGCAUUCACCUACCUGUUAGAUGUUUAUAGCUGCAUGAGUUCUUUAUAUGAAAAAAUAAUGGCUUGCUAUCAUCAAAGAAAUACCAAGCUAAUCACUUUCUUUGCACAGUCCUGGACUGAUUAGCCAGUAUGGAAGUAUAAACAAUAUUAUGUUUGAUCACUUGUGUAUUUAUUUUAAAAGGCUGCAGGAAAUCUUCUAUUUUAAACAGUGAAAUAGACACAGCAGUUGGGACUUUGCAAUCUACUGAUUAGAAAUACUGGUAUUCGAAUCUCUUUUCUAAAUGAGCAUACCUUUUUUCUUGGAGAUUAAGACGAUAUCCAGCUAAAAAGACUGUAUACCAUACCUAAAGGAUUAUAUUAUCUAUAAUCUACAUGCACUAUCACUGCUCUUUGACACCACAUUAAAUCCUUUCUUCAAGAUGAACAGAUAUUCUCUGUGUUUGUUUACAUGGAGAUUAUGGGCCUGAUCCUGAGAGGUGCUGAGAGCUUUCAAUUUUGAGUUAUUUCAGUAGCUACCGGGGACACUCAGCAGGCAGCCGGACCUAACCCUGUGGCAAAAAGCAGUAACUGAUCACUAGUUUAA